RNAcentral lists this ribosomal RNA (562 nucleotides) under Escherichia coli DEC15A. RNAcentral's name for it is "partial 23S ribosomal RNA". Lineage: Bacteria; Pseudomonadati; Pseudomonadota; Gammaproteobacteria; Enterobacterales; Enterobacteriaceae. The record is from RNAcentral.
AACACUCAAGGCCUUCUCCUGGAGAAGGCCUUGCUAUUAGUUGCGGUACAGCACCUUAAUGAUGUGAUAUCCGAACUGGGUGUGCAGCGGGCCGGUCGGCUCCAGUACCGGACAAGAGAAAACCACUUUAUCGAACGCCGGAACCAUCUGACCCUGGCGGAAUUCACCUAAAUCACCGCCGCGUUUGCCUGACGGGCAAAUAGAGUGUUUCUUCGCCAGCUUGCCGAAAUCGGCACCGUUCUUAAUCUGCUCGAGAAGAUCCAGAGCCAGUUUCUCUUCUUUUACAAGGAUAUGCAGUGCUGCUGCUGUUUUUGCCAUGAUCGUGCCUUGAGUGAAUAAUUGUCAGGCGGCGAUUUUAGCAUGAUCCGCAGAUGCUAACGUAAUUGUCAGUCAGGGAGGGGCUGGUACAUAUAUGGCAAAAGCCCGGAAAAUCCGGGCUUCGCAGGUCCCUCAAGGGGAGAAAACUUAGGGCCUCUAUGGGCUACAAAGUCAUUAUCGGGGAUGGUUAUUUUAUUGUCAAUUUAUGAGCGAUAUGGCAUUGAUUGACUUGAUGACCGCCCUC